Molecule: ribosomal RNA, 253 nt
Filed under: uncultured bacterium
Lineage: Bacteria
Description: partial 16S ribosomal RNA
Rfam family: Bacterial small subunit ribosomal RNA
Source: RNAcentral
UACGUAGGGUGCAAGCGUUGUCCGGAAUUAUUGGGCGUAAAGGGCUCGUAGGCGGUUUGUUACGUCGGGAGUGAAAACCCAGGGCUCAACCCUGGGCCUGCUUCCGAUACGGGCAGACUAGAGGUAUGCAGGGGAGAAUGGAAUUCCUGGUGUAGCGGUGAAAUGCGCAGAUAUCAGGAGGAACACCGGUGGCGAAGGCGGUUCUCUGGGCAUUACCUGACGCUGAGGAGCGAAAGUGUGGGGAGCGAACAGG